Molecule: ribosomal RNA, 750 nt
Filed under: uncultured bacterium
Lineage: Bacteria
Description: bacterial SSU rRNA
Rfam family: Bacterial small subunit ribosomal RNA
Source: RNAcentral
GAUGAACGCUGGCGGCGUGCCUAACACAUGCAAGUCGAGCGAGAAGUAAAUAACAGAAGCUUUCGGGCGGAAGAUAUUUAUGGAAAGCGGCGGACGGGUGAGUAACGCGUGGGUAACCUGCCCUAUACAUGGGGAUAGCCACUAGAAAUGGUGAUUAAUACCUGGUAGGCAUAAUAGAGGCAUCUUUAUUAUGAGAAAGAUUUAUUGGUAUAGGAUGGGCCCGCGUCUGAUUAGCUAGUUGGUGGGGUAAAGGCCUACCAAGGCAGUGAUCAGUAGCCGACCUAAGAGGGUGAACGGCCACACUGGAACUGAGAGACGGUCCAGACUCCUACGGGAGGCAGCAGUGGGGGAUAUUGCACAAUGGGGGAAACCCUGAUGCAGCAACGCCGCGUGAGUGAUGAAAUUUUUCGAAAUGUAAAACUCUGUCCUAUGGGAAGAAAAAAAUGACGGUACCAUAGGAGGAAGCCCCGGCUAACUACGUGCCAGCAGCCGCGGUAAUACGUAGGGGGCAAGCGUUAUCCGGAAUCAUUGGGCGUAAAGCGUGCGUAGGCGGCUAGGAAGGUCAGAGGUGAAAGGCAUGGGCUUAACCUGUGUAAGCCUUUGAAACCGACUAGCUUGAGUACAGGAGGGGAAAGUGGAAUUUCUAGUGUAGCGGUGAAAUGCGUAGAUAUUAGAAAGAACACCAGUGGCGAAGGCGACUGUCUGGACUGUAACUGACGCUAAGGCACGAAAGCGUGGGUAGCGAACAGG